This 254-nucleotide ribosomal RNA is filed under the name uncultured bacterium. RNAcentral describes it as "partial 16S ribosomal RNA". It matches the Rfam family "Bacterial small subunit ribosomal RNA", at positions 524 to 777 of the family's 1533-position model. The record is from RNAcentral.
UACGAAGGGGGCUAGCGUUGCUCGGAAUUACUGGGCGUAAAGGGCGCGUAGGCGGACAGUUUAGUCAGAGGUGAAAGCCCAGGGCUCAACCUUGGAAUUGCCUUUGAUACUGGCUGUCUUGAGUUCGGGAGAGGUGAGUGGAAUGCCGAGUGUAGAGGUGAAAUUCGUAGAUAUUCGGCGGAACACCAGUGGCGAAGGCGACUCACUGGCCCGAUACUGACGCUGAGGCGCGAAAGCGUGGGGAGCGAACGGGG